RNAcentral lists this ribosomal RNA (497 nucleotides) under uncultured bacterium. RNAcentral describes it as "partial 16S ribosomal RNA". It matches the Rfam family "Bacterial small subunit ribosomal RNA", at positions 28 to 507 of the family's 1533-position model. The record is from RNAcentral.
GAUGAACGCUGGCGGCGUGCCUAAUACAUGCAAGUCGAGCGGACAGACGAGGAGCUUGCUCCUCUGACGUUAGCGGCGGACGGGUGAGUAACACGUGGAUAACCUACCUAUAAGACUGGGAUAACUUCGGGAAACCGGAGCUAAUACCGGAUAACAUGUUGAACCACAUGGUUCAACAGUGAAAGACGGUCUUGCUGUCACUUAUAGAUGGAUCCGCGCCGCAUUAGCUAGUUGGUAAGGUAACGGCUUACCAAGGCAACGAUGCGUAGCCGACCUGAGAGGGUGAUCGGCCACACUGGAACUGAGACACGGUCCAGACUCCUACGGGAGGCAGCAGUAGGGAAUCUUCCGCAAUGGGCGAAAGCCUGACGGAGCAACGCCGCGUGAGUGAAGAAGGUCUUCGGAUCGUAAAACUCUGUUAUUAGGGAAGAACAAAUGUGUAAGUAACUAUGCACGUCUUGACGGUACCUAAUCAGAAAGCCACGGCUAACUACGUG